Molecule: ribosomal RNA, 367 nt
Filed under: uncultured bacterium
Lineage: Bacteria
Description: bacterial SSU rRNA
Rfam family: Bacterial small subunit ribosomal RNA
Source: RNAcentral
AGUAGGGGCAACUCUGCGAGUACAGCGGCGCACGGGUGAGUAACACGUAGGUAACCUGCCUUCGAGACUGGAAUAACCUGUCGAAAGACGGGCUAAUACCGGAUAAGACCACGGGAGUUGCGGCUCCAGGGGUAAAAGGUGGCCUCUGCUUGCAAGCUACCACUCGGAGAUGGGCCUGCGCGCCAUUAGCUUGUUGGCGGGGUAACGGCCCACCAAGGCAAAGAUGGUUAGCUGGUCUGAGAGGAUGGCCAGCCACACUGGGACUGAGACACGGCCCAGACUCCUACGGGAGGCAGCAGUGGGGAAUAUUGCGCAAUGGGCGAAAGCCUGACGCAGCGACGCCGCGUGGGUGAUGAAGGCCUUCGGG